RNAcentral lists this ribosomal RNA (139 nucleotides) under uncultured bacterium. Its description in RNAcentral is "partial 16S ribosomal RNA". It matches the Rfam family "Bacterial small subunit ribosomal RNA", at positions 355 to 509 of the family's 1533-position model. The record is from RNAcentral.
UGGGGAAUAUUGCACAAUGGGGGGAAACCCGUGAUGCAGCGACGCCGCGUGAGCGAUGAAGUAUUUCGGUAUGUAAAGCUCUAUCAGCAGGGAAGAAAAUGACGGUACCUGACUAAGAAGCCCGGGCUAACUACGUGCC